CUUAUCAAGAGUGGUUGAGGGAGAGGGCCCUGUGAAACCCGGCAACCAGCAGAAAUGCAUUGGUGCCAAUUCCCCCGCAGUGUUGCGGAAGAUGAGA
This 97-nucleotide non-coding RNA is filed under the name chicken gut metagenome. RNAcentral describes it as "SAM riboswitch (S box leader)". It matches the Rfam family "SAM riboswitch aptamer (S box leader)". Rfam says of the family: The SAM riboswitch is found upstream of a number of genes which code for proteins involved in methionine or cysteine biosynthesis in Gram-positive bacteria. The SAM riboswitch acts at the level of transcription termination control. The predicted structure consists of a complex stem-loop region followed by a single stem loop terminator region. The record is from RNAcentral.